UUGCCCUAGUAACGGCGAGUGAAGCGGCAACAGCUCAAAUUUGAAAUCUGGCCUUCUUUGGGGGUCCGAGUUGUAAUUUGCAGAGGGUGCUUUGGUGUCGGCAGCGGUGUAAGUUCCUUGGAACAGGACGUCACAGAGGGUGAGAAUCCCGUACGUGGUCGCUUGCCUUCGCCGUGUAAAGCCCCUUCGACGAGUCGAGUUGUUUGGGAAUGCAGCUCUAAAUGGGAGGUAAAUUUCUUCUAAAGCUAAAUACUGGCCAGAGACCGAUAGCGCACAAGUAGAGUGAUCGAAAGAUGAAAAGCACUUUGGAAAGAGAGUCAAACAGCACGUGAAAUUGUUGAAAGGGAAGCGCUUGCAGCCAGACUUGCCGGUAGUUGCUCACCCGGACUUUUGCCCGGGGCACUCUUCUGCGGGCAGGCCAGCAUCAGUUUGGGCGACCGGAUAACGGCCUCUGUCAUGUAUCUUCCUUCGGGAUGACCUUAUAGGGGAGGCGUAAUGCGGCCAGCCCGGACUGAGGUCCGCGCUUCGGCUAGGAUGCUGGCGUAAUGGCUGUAAGCGGCCCGUCUUGAAACACGGACCAAGGAGUCUAACAUCUAUGCGAGUGUUUGGGUGUCAAGCCCGGGCGCGUAAUGAAAGUGAACGGAGGUGGGAACCCUUUCGGGGGCGCACCCUCGACCGAUCCUGAUGUCUUCGGAUGGAUUUGAGUAAGAGCAUAGCUGUUGGGACCCGAAAGAUGGUGAACUAUGCUUGAAUAGGGUGAAGCCAGAGGAAACUCUGGUGGAGGCUCGCAGCGGUUCUGACGUGCAAAUCGAUCGUCAAAUUUGGGCAUAGGGGCGAAAGACUAAUCGAACUAUC
RNAcentral lists this ribosomal RNA (855 nucleotides) under Setoseptoria lulworthcovensis. RNAcentral describes it as "eukaryotic LSU rRNA". It matches the Rfam family "Eukaryotic large subunit ribosomal RNA", at positions 75 to 944 of the family's 3401-position model. The record is from RNAcentral. Lineage: Eukaryota; Fungi; Ascomycota; Dothideomycetes; Pleosporales; Lentitheciaceae.